RNAcentral lists this ribosomal RNA (465 nucleotides) under uncultured Thiobacillus sp. RNAcentral describes it as "bacterial SSU rRNA". It matches the Rfam family "Bacterial small subunit ribosomal RNA", at positions 338 to 795 of the family's 1533-position model. Lineage: Bacteria; Pseudomonadati; Pseudomonadota; Betaproteobacteria; Nitrosomonadales; Thiobacillaceae. The record is from RNAcentral.
CCUACGGGUGGCUGCAGUGGGGAAUUUUGGACAAUGGGGGCAACCCUGAUCCAGCCAUUCCGCGUGAGUGAAGAAGGCCUUCGGGUUGUAAAGCUCUUUCAGCUGGAACGAAACGGUGCGCUCUAACAUAGCGCGCUAAUGACGGUACCAGCAGAAGAAGCACCGGCUAACUACGUGCCAGCAGCCGCGGUAAUACGUAGGGUGCGAGCGUUAAUCGGAAUUACUGGGCGUAAAGCGUGCGCAGGCGGAUUGUUAAGCAAGAUGUGAAAUCCCCGGGCUUAACCUGGGAAUGGCAUUUUGAACUGGCAGUCUAGAGUGCGUCAGAGGGGGGUGGAAUUCCACGUGUAGCAGUGAAAUGCGUAGAGAUGUGGAGGAACACCGAUGGCGAAGGCAGCCCCCUGGGAUGACACUGACGCUCAUGUACGAAAGCGUGGGUAGCAAACAGGCUUAGAUACCCCAGUAGUC